Molecule: transfer RNA, 95 nt
Filed under: Rosistilla ulvae
Lineage: Bacteria; Pseudomonadati; Planctomycetota; Planctomycetia; Pirellulales; Pirellulaceae
Description: Planctomycetes bacterium EC9 tRNA-Thr
Source: RNAcentral
GGAUCCCUUUGACGGUGGCCCUCGUCUCGGGAUUGGUGACCGCGGUGCUGGGCGGAAUCUGGCUUCCCCUCGGUUCGAUAUCGGGAGAGAUCUGC